GACGAACGCUGGCGGCGUGCCUAAUACAUGCAAGUAGAACGCUGAAGGAGGAGCUUGCUUCUCUGGAUGAGUUGCGAACGGGUGAGUAACGCGUAGGUAACCUGCCUGGUAGCGGGGGAUAACUAUUGGAAACGAUAGCUAAUACCGCAUAAUAGCAGUUGUUGCAUGACAACUGUUUGAAAGGUGCACAUGCAUCACUACCAGAUGGACCUGCGUUGUAUUAGCUAGUUGGUGGGGUAAAGGCUCACCAAGGCGACGAUACAUAGCCGACCUGAGAGGGUGAGCGGCCAAGCUGGGACUGAGACACGGCCCAGACUACUACGGGAGGCAGCAGUAGGGAAUCUUCGGCAAUGGACGGAAGGCUGACCGAGCAACGCCGCGUGAGUGAAGAAGGUUUUCGGAUCGUAAAGCUCUGUUGUAAGAGAAGAACGAGUGUGAGAGUGGAAAGUUCACACUGUGACGGUAUCUUACCAGAAAGGGACGGCUAACUACGUG
Molecule: ribosomal RNA, 495 nt
Filed under: uncultured bacterium
Lineage: Bacteria
Description: partial 16S ribosomal RNA
Rfam family: Bacterial small subunit ribosomal RNA
Source: RNAcentral